RNAcentral lists this ribosomal RNA (462 nucleotides) under uncultured bacterium. RNAcentral's name for it is "partial 16S ribosomal RNA". It matches the Rfam family "Bacterial small subunit ribosomal RNA", at positions 338 to 795 of the family's 1533-position model. The record is from RNAcentral.
CCUACGGGUGGCUGCAGUGAGGAAUAUUGGUCAAUGGACGCAAGUCUGAACCAGCCAAGUAGCGUGCAGGAUGACGGCUCUCCGGUUUGUAAACUGCUUUUAGUUGGGAAUAAAAGGGGGCUCGUGAGCCCCGUAUUGUAUGUACCAUCAGAAAAAGGACCGGCUAAUUCCGUGCCAGCAGCCGCGGUAAUACGGAGGGUCCGGGGGGUAGCCGGAUUGAUUGGGUUUAAAGGGAGCGUAGGCCGGCUUGUAGGUCGGCUGUGAAAGUCCGCGGCUCAACCGUGGAAGUGCAGUGGAACAUGGAGGCCUUGAGUACGCAUGGGGAUGCCGGAAUUCAUGGUGUAGCGGUGAAAUGCUUAGAUAUCAUGAAGAACUCCGAUCGCGAAGGCAAGUGUCCGGAGUGCAACUGACGCUGAGGCUCGAAAGUGCGGGUAUCAAACAGGAUUAGAUACCCGAGUAGUC